UACGUAGGGUGCGAGCGUUAAUCGGAAUUACUGGGCGUAAAGCGUGCGUAGGCGGGUCGUUAAGUCAGCUGUGAAAGCCCCGGGCUCAACCUGGGAACUGCGGUUGAAACUGGCGAACUAGAAUCUGGCAGAGGGGGGUGGAAUUCCGCGUGUAGCAGUGAAAUGCGUAGAGAUGUGGAGGAACACCGAUGGCGAAGGCAGCCCCCUGGGCUGAGAUUGACGCUCAGGCACGAAAGCGUGGGGAGCAAACAGG
RNAcentral lists this ribosomal RNA (253 nucleotides) under uncultured bacterium. RNAcentral's name for it is "partial 16S ribosomal RNA". It matches the Rfam family "Bacterial small subunit ribosomal RNA", at positions 524 to 776 of the family's 1533-position model. The record is from RNAcentral.